RNAcentral lists this long non-coding RNA (597 nucleotides) under Phoenix dactylifera (date palm). RNAcentral's name for it is "long non-coding RNA (PDAC_LNC020944)". The record is from RNAcentral. Lineage: Eukaryota; Viridiplantae; Streptophyta; Magnoliopsida; Arecales; Arecaceae.
AUUCCUCCUAGGAAUACAAAGACCUAUCAUCUAAGGCAAAAGCAAUUAUAAUGAAGCAUUCCAACUUUAGCAUGUGCAGAGACCUCCCUCCAUGACAACCAAGGACCAUUGAAAAAUUGGCGCAUGAUGGCAACAGUUUUGUGACUGACCUCAUAAUCAAGAAACCUGCAAUUUAAAAAAUAUUCAUUAGAAAAUAAACUAAAUACUUUAAAUGCAACAAACAUAUAAAUUCAAGUUAGUGAUGGUAAAUUCAAGACAUGGAAAGUGAUCAUGCUAUUAUAUUCUCUUCGUCAUUCUUAUUAAGGCGUUAUUUUCAUUUCUACCACAAUCAGAAUUGGACAUUUUGUUUUAUUUAGAAACUCCAACCAGUAACCAAACCACAAAAAUAGAAAAGUUGAUUGAUAUUGGGUCUUUAUAAAUUUAAUGAUGAGCCAAUUAGAUGUGAAAGAUGGGUGGCAGAAACAGAUUAUUGUAUGGAGGGUUUUAGCUCCAAGUUUCAGGAAUUAAACUAGUUCAAAUAUGAUAUUCAAAUACCACCUAAGGUAUGAUAGUUGUAAGUACAAGAUGAACCUGUCACACUAUGAACCUCCACUUGAG